RNAcentral lists this ribosomal RNA (533 nucleotides) under Trigonopterus silvestris. RNAcentral's name for it is "partial 16S ribosomal RNA". Lineage: Eukaryota; Metazoa; Arthropoda; Insecta; Coleoptera; Curculionidae. The record is from RNAcentral.
GGUUUAAACUCAGAUCAUGUAAAAUUCUAAAGGUCGAACAGACCUAUUUUAUUAGCUUCUACACCAAUAAAUCAUUUUAAUCCAACAUCGAGGUCGCAAUCUAUUUUUUCGAUAAGAGCUCUAAAAAAAAUUACGCUGUUAUCCCUAAGGUAAUUUAAUCUUUUAAUCUAAACAACAGGAUCAUAUGUAUACAUAUAAGUAUAAUAAUAAAGAAAAGUUUAAUUAAUUUUCCUAUCACCCCAAUAAAAUAAAUACAAAUAAAACCUAGUUAAACACCCUAAAAUUAAAUUUUAUCCAAUCUAUAAAACUCUAUAGGGUCUUCUCGUCUUCCAUAUAAAUCUAAGCUUUUUAACUUAAAAAUAAAAUUCUAAUAAAAUUUAAUAGAGACAGUCAUUCUCUCAUCAAACCGUUCAUACCAGCUUUCAAUUAAAAAACUAAUGAUUAUGCUACCUUUGCACGGUCAAUAUACCGCGGCCAUUCAACUAAUCAGUGGGCAGGCUAGACUUGAAAUUUUAUACAACAAGCCAUGUUUU